This 341-nucleotide ribosomal RNA is filed under the name Aptinothrips stylifer. RNAcentral's name for it is "eukaryotic LSU rRNA". It matches the Rfam family "Eukaryotic large subunit ribosomal RNA", at positions 645 to 957 of the family's 3401-position model. Lineage: Eukaryota; Metazoa; Arthropoda; Insecta; Thysanoptera; Thripidae. The record is from RNAcentral.
UGACCCGUCUUGAAACAAGGACCAAGGAGUUUAACUUGUGCGUGAGUCAUUGGGCUCUGCGAAACCUAAAGGCGAAAUGAAAGUAAAGGCUAGCUUGCUAGCUGAGGGGUGAUGACCGUUCCUUCUCAGGGCGGUCCGCAACCCCGGGGCGUCUCAUUCUCUUUGAGAAGUGGCGCACCCAGAGCGUACACGUUGGGACCCGAAAGAUGGUGAACUAUGCUUGGCCAGGACGAAGUCAGGGGAAACCCUGAUGGAGGUCCGUAGCGAUUCUGACGUGCAAAUCGAUCGUCGGAGCUGAGUAUAGGGGCGAAAGACUAAUCGAACCAUCUAGUAGCUGGUUC